Molecule: ribosomal RNA, 465 nt
Filed under: Vreelandella stevensii
Lineage: Bacteria; Pseudomonadati; Pseudomonadota; Gammaproteobacteria; Oceanospirillales; Halomonadaceae
Description: partial 16S ribosomal RNA
Rfam family: Bacterial small subunit ribosomal RNA
Source: RNAcentral
CCUACGGGAGGCAGCAGUGGGGAAUAUUGGACAAUGGGGGCAACCCUGAUCCAGCCAUGCCGCGUGUGUGAAGAAGGCCCUCGGGUUGUAAAGCACUUUCAGUGAGGAAGAACGCCUGGUGGUUAAUACCCAUCAGGAAAGACAUCACUCACAGAAGAAGCACCGGCUAACUCCGUGCCAGCAGCCGCGGUAAUACGGAGGGUGCGAGCGUUAAUCGGAAUUACUGGGCGUAAAGCGCGCGUAGGUGGCUUGAUAAGCCGGUUGUGAAAGCCCCGGGCUCAACCUGGGAACGGCAUCCGGAACUGUCAAGCUAGAGUGCAGGAGAGGAAGGUAGAAUUCCCGGUGUAGCGGUGAAAUGCGUAGAGCUCGGGAGGAAUACCAGUGGCGAAGGCGGCCUUCUGGACUGACACUGCCACUGAGGUGCGAAAGCGUGGGUAGCAAACAGGAUUAGCUACCCCUGUAGUC